UACGUAGGGGGCAAGCGUUGUCCGGAAUCAUUGGGCGUAAAGAGCGUGUAGGCGGUCAGAAAAGUCCGCUGUGAAAACUCGAGGCUCAACUUCGAGCUGUCGGUGGAAACUUUCUGGCUAGAGUCCGGAAGAGGAGAAUGGAAUUCCUGGUGUAGCGGUGAAAUGCGCAGAUAUCAGGAAGAACACCCGUGGCGAAGGCGGUUCUCUGGGACGGUACUGACGCUGAGACGCGAAAGCGUGGGGAGCAAACAGG
RNAcentral lists this ribosomal RNA (253 nucleotides) under uncultured bacterium. RNAcentral's name for it is "partial 16S ribosomal RNA". It matches the Rfam family "Bacterial small subunit ribosomal RNA", at positions 524 to 776 of the family's 1533-position model. The record is from RNAcentral.